GGGCGGUUAGCUCAGCUGGGAGAGCAACUGGUUUACACCCAGUAGGUCGGGGGUUCGAGCCCCUCACCGCCCACCA
RNAcentral lists this transfer RNA (76 nucleotides) under Alphaproteobacteria bacterium. RNAcentral's name for it is "tRNA-Val". It matches the Rfam family "tRNA". From Rfam's summary of the family: Transfer RNA (tRNA) molecules are approximately 80 nucleotides in length. Their secondary structure includes four short double-helical elements and three loops (D, anti-codon, and T loops). The record is from RNAcentral. Lineage: Bacteria; Pseudomonadati; Pseudomonadota; Alphaproteobacteria.